ACUGAGGUGAACUUUAGCGGGGAGCUUUGUCGGCGCUGAAGGAGCCUUAGAGUGGUUUUCACAUUUUCCUGUGAGACGCCACGCCACUGCCAAAUGCACCUGUCGUAGUUAAACUCCUACCUUUAAUGUAAUGUUUGAGGCCUACUCAAUAUCCAAAAAACAUUUUCUUAAAAUGGCUUCUGUUACUCCGGUGUAUGUACGCUAUUGCCCAUAGAUUUCUAGAAGAUUCCGAUGAAUAUCUUGUCAUUUUUUUUUCAUACUGAAGUGAGUUCAACGUAGUGUUGAUUGGUAGUUAGUUGGCUAUUCCUGAAACUACAGUCUGCCUGAGCCUUCUGGACCACUUUCCGCAGGGCUCUGUGGUGAGGUCGGAGCGCGCCUCGCCUGUGAUGCUGCUCUUGGACAGGCUUUGUACCGUUGGCCUUCGCCAGAAUUGUUGGAACAUGGAUGACUAUCUUCAAGUUACUGUAACACAAAAUCUCAAGCCAAAAAGUAACAUAGGAAUAAUACAGACUGGAUCAUUUGAUUAGAUUUUACUGAGUUUGAUAUUCAGAAGAGUAUAGGGGAUCGAACUCGGGACCUUGUGCUUGCGAGGCCGGUGCCGGAACCACUGAGCUAAAUCCCAGCUAAAUCCCCGAGCCUAUAAUUAUGGAAAAAUACACCAUUUGAUGAACAAUGAAAGCAAAUAUAUCACUAAUAAAUACUAUUUGAAGGAUUUUUUUUUUGUGCAAAAGUUAUUCUGGGAAAGGAAGAUGGUAUCUGAAAAGUAGUAAAACGUUUCCAGAGCCAUUUUAACUACACAGUGUUUUUCACAUUUGAAUAGACUGCAUCAACAUGAAUUCUUUAUAAGGACCUUAAAAACAAACUUUGCCAAGUCUCAGAAUACAGAAGUGAAUUCACAUCCCAAUACUCAGCUGCCUCAUGAAUAAAGGAGAGCUUGUGCCUGGCACUUUGAAGCUGUAGCUGUUAAACCAUACAGAAUAUUUACCUCAAUAAAUCAUUAUAAGAAACUAAGGUACAAUUAUACCCACAGAGAAAAAGAAUUCGAAACACUGAUUUAUGUGUUUCAGUGGCUAUUCCCUUUCCCACCAUGUUUUGAAUUUUAUGCAUGUUUGUCAUCUUUGGCUGCUCCUGUGUAUCUUUAAAGUAAUGGGUUCUGCUUUUUUUUAACAUUCCUCAUUAAGUUUGUUAUUUUUCUUUGACACACAGACAUGAUUUGCAUAGUGUACUAAGUUGUACAUUUAAAAUUAACUAUCUCAUUUCUUAUGACUGAAACAAAAA
This is a non-coding RNA of Heterocephalus glaber (naked mole-rat), 1278 nucleotides long. Lineage: Eukaryota; Metazoa; Chordata; Mammalia; Rodentia; Bathyergidae. The record is from RefSeq and is a predicted model, not a curated record.